CCUACGGGAGGCAGCAGUAGGGAAUUUUCCACAAUGGACGAAAGUCUGAUGGAGCAAUGCCGCGUGAGGGAUGAAGGUUUUCGGACUGUAAACCUCUGUUGUAAGGAAAGAAUAGCUUUUAUAGGAAAUGAUGAAAGUUUGACGGUACCUUACCAGAAAGUCACGGCUAACUAUGUGCCAGCAGCCGCGGUAAUACAUAGGUGGCAAGCGUUAUCCGGAUUUAUUGGGCGUAAAGAGUGCACAGGUGGUUUAUCAAGUCAGUUGUUAAAGCCCGGAGCU
Molecule: ribosomal RNA, 279 nt
Filed under: uncultured bacterium
Lineage: Bacteria
Description: partial 16S ribosomal RNA
Rfam family: Bacterial small subunit ribosomal RNA
Source: RNAcentral